This 507-nucleotide ribosomal RNA is filed under the name Aspergillus sp. 13a. Its description in RNAcentral is "partial 18S ribosomal RNA". The stretch from base 178 to 331 matches the Rfam family "5.8S ribosomal RNA". Lineage: Eukaryota; Fungi; Ascomycota; Eurotiomycetes; Eurotiales; Aspergillaceae. The record is from RNAcentral.
UGACCUGCGGAAGGAUCAUUACCGAGUGCGGGCUGCCUCCGGGCGCCCAACCUCCCACCCGUGACUACCUAACACUGUUGCUUCGGCGGGGAGCCCUCUCGGGGGCGAGCCGCCGGGGACUACUGAACUUCAUGCCUGAGAGUGAUGCAGUCUGAGUCUGAAUAUAAAAUCAGUCAAAACUUUCAACAAUGGAUCUCUUGGUUCCGGCAUCGAUGAAGAACGCAGCGAACUGCGAUAAGUAAUGUGAAUUGCAGAAUUCAGUGAAUCAUCGAGUCUUUGAACGCACAUUGCGCCCCCUGGCAUUCCGGGGGGCAUGCCUGUCCGAGCGUCAUUGCUGCCCAUCAAGCCCGGCUUGUGUGUUGGGUCGUCGUCCCCCCCGGGGGACGGGCCCGAAAGGCAGCGGCGGCACCGUGUCCGGUCCUCGAGCGUAUGGGGCUUUGUCACCCGCUCGAUUAGGGCCGGCCGGGCGCCAGCCGACGUCUCCAACCAUUUUUUUCAGGUGACCUC